RNAcentral lists this antisense RNA (505 nucleotides) under Actinopolyspora biskrensis. Its description in RNAcentral is "sRNA 350". It matches the Rfam family "Saccharopolyspora sRNA 350". Lineage: Bacteria; Bacillati; Actinomycetota; Actinomycetes; Actinopolysporales; Actinopolysporaceae. The record is from RNAcentral.
UUGACGGUGUAGCCCCAGGAGCCGGUGUCGUCGGCCAGUGUGUGCGCUCCCACGUAUUCGCCGUCGGCGAGAACGUCGAGCACGGUGUCCUCGCCGUACUCGCCGGGGCCGAUCCGGUUGGCCUUGCCGUGUGCCAUCAGCACCACCCGGUCGGCCGGACCGCCCCGUUCGACGAUCACGUCUCCCGGGACGUGCUCCUCCUGGACGAACCGGUCGGCCAGCGCGGCCAGCGCCGACUCGUCGUCGAACCCGCGCAGCAGCGGAAGUUCCCGCAGCUCCUGCGGGAUCACCCGUACCUCGGCACCGGUGUUGACGAAGGUCAACCGACCGUCACCGAGCAAAUAGGUCAGUCGGCGAUUGACGCGGUACACACCGCCGUUGGAUUGCACCCAGGGCAGCAUCCGCAGCAACCACCGCGAGGAGAUCCCCUGCAUCUGCGGCGCCGACUUGGUCGUCGUCGCCAAAUUGCGGGCGGCGUCGGUUCCCAGACUCGACUGUGCGUACG